AGUUUUGAAAGAAGAUAGUCCCGCGCUGAGUGAGCGCGCAAAAAGCUUGUCAACGUGAACGCGUGCGAGUGACGAAUACAGUCUAGAAGUUUCGUCUAAAAGUUGCGGUUGAUGAUCAGUUUGUGGGUAAAUGUCCACAGCCUGAAAGAAGAUCAGGAGGAGGAAGAAAUCUGCUUCACAACUCAAUAGAAAAAUGCAUGUGGGGAAAAAAGCUUCAUUUCUACAUGAUUUAGUGUGAAAAAGUGUGAAGAAAGUGUGAAACGCACCCUUUCCUUCAUGCGUCCAAGAAUGAACUUCAGAUGCCGCACUGCCAGUGGGAGGUUGUGUCCCGUGGCCGGUGGUCUUCAGACAAACAUCGGAGGUGGUAGACACGGAAACAGCCGUCACACUCCAGCACGUCUCCGGGAAGGUGACACUCAAAGCAGUACCAGU
This is a long non-coding RNA of Megalobrama amblycephala (Wuchang bream), 432 nucleotides long. RefSeq lists it as uncharacterized. The transcript is spliced from 3 exons. The record is from RefSeq and is a predicted model, not a curated record. NCBI's taxonomy places the organism in Eukaryota, Metazoa, Chordata, Actinopteri, Cypriniformes, Xenocyprididae.